This is a long non-coding RNA of Spodoptera frugiperda (fall armyworm), 672 nucleotides long. RefSeq lists it as uncharacterized. NCBI's taxonomy places the organism in Eukaryota, Metazoa, Arthropoda, Insecta, Lepidoptera, Noctuidae. The record is from RefSeq and is a predicted model, not a curated record. The transcript has 3 exons.
CCGUUGUUUUGUUUUGGAUUGUAGUUUGUAACUUCAUCUAAACAAUUUAGCAAUUAUCUGGCCAUUUUUACGUUGAGUUGAGCAACUGCUUCUCCGUUCUCUAUCUGUUGAUACUACUUUCGCGAAAGGACGCUUUAUUAAUUGUGUUGUGUGUUACGUGUUUUAUUGAAAAUGACGAGUUUGCAAUGCAUCAAUUGCAAUGUUCGCUUGUCCCAAAGAAGAAGACACGCUUUAUCAAAUGACGGUGAAGAUAUCGUCAACACUAAUCGUCUGUGGACAUAUCUUAGAGAUAUUACACCAGAUGACCAUGUUUACCAUGAAUGCUGGCAGCUAGCUAGUCAUUCAUGUUCUUCUGAUAAUAUGCCGAGAAGACACAUAGGCCAUCAGUGUUUGUGUUGUAUGUGGACAACCCAUACUAAGAAUCAGGCAAUGCAGAAUUUUGAUUGAAGAAGAACAAAGAACGGCUUACACAAUUGCUACUUGGAUCUAACCACGACAGCUUCAUCCUGAAGAUAAAGCUUGUGUGCGGUGUUGGUUAAGAGUGAGAACUAAGGAUACUUCACUAAAUGAAGAUAUUCAAUCCGUUGAACCUAAUCAGCAGAAAAGUGAUAAUUCUGAACUGAUGUGUGCUGCAUGUGGUCAAAGUCUUACUCCCAACAACACUGCUUGUUU